RNAcentral lists this ribosomal RNA (253 nucleotides) under uncultured bacterium. Its description in RNAcentral is "partial 16S ribosomal RNA". It matches the Rfam family "Bacterial small subunit ribosomal RNA", at positions 524 to 776 of the family's 1533-position model. The record is from RNAcentral.
UACGUAGGGUGCAAGCGUUAAUCGGAAUUACUGGGCGUAAAGCGUGCGCAGGCGGUUUUGUAAGUCUGACGUGAAAUCCCCGGGCUCAACCUGAGAAUUGCGUUGGAGACUGCAAGGCUAGAAUCUGGCAGAGGGGGGUAGAAUUCCACGUGUAGCAGUGAAAUGCGUAGAGAUGUGGAGGAACACCGAUGGCGAAGGCAGCCCCCUGGGUCAAGAUUGACGCUCAUGCACGAAAGCGUGGGGAGCAAACAGG